GACGAACGCUGGCGGCGUGCUUAACACAUGCAAGUCGAACGGUAAGGCCCUUCGGGGUACACGAGUGGCGAACGGGUGAGUAACACGUGGGUGAUCUGCCCUGCACUUCGGGAUAAGCCUGGGAAACUGGGUCUAAUACCGGAUAGGACCCUGCGCUUCACGGUGUGUGGUGGAAAGCUUUUGCGGUGUGGGAUGGGCCCGCGGCCUAUCAGCUUGUUGGUGGGGUAAUGGCCUACCAAGGCGACGACGGGUAGCCGGCCUGAGAGGGUGACCGGCCACACUGGGACUGAGAUACGGCCCAGACUCCUACGGGAGGCAGCAGUGGGGAAUAUUGCACAAUGGGCGCAAGCCUGAUGCAGCGACGCCGCGUGAGGGAUGACGGCCUUCGGGUUGUAAACCUCUUUCAGUAGGGACGAAGCGCAAGUGACGGUACCUACAGAGGAAGGACCGGCCAACUACGUGCCAGCCGCCGCAGUAA
RNAcentral lists this ribosomal RNA (478 nucleotides) under uncultured bacterium. Its description in RNAcentral is "partial 16S ribosomal RNA". It matches the Rfam family "Bacterial small subunit ribosomal RNA", at positions 28 to 523 of the family's 1533-position model. The record is from RNAcentral.